This 459-nucleotide ribosomal RNA is filed under the name uncultured bacterium. RNAcentral's name for it is "SSU rRNA". It matches the Rfam family "Bacterial small subunit ribosomal RNA", at positions 26 to 518 of the family's 1533-position model. The record is from RNAcentral.
AGAAUCAACGCUGGCGGCGUGCCUAACACAUGCAAGUCGCACGAGAAAGUGGAGCAAUCCACGAGUAAAGUGGCGCACGGGUGAGUAACACGUGAAUAAUCUACCUCCGAGUGGGGAAUAACUGAGAGAAAUCUUAGCUAAUACCGCAUAAUACCCACGGGUCAAAGCAGCAAUGCGCUUGGAGAGGAGUUCGCGGCCGAUUAGCUAGUUGGCGGGGUAAUGGCCCACCAAGGCGAUGAUCGGUAUCCGGCCUGAGAGGGCGCACGGACACACUGGAACUGAAACACGGUCCAGACUCCUACGGGAGGCAGCAGUGGGGAAUUUUGCGCAAUGGGGGAAACCCUGACGCAGCAACGUCGCGUGGAGGAUGAAAUCCCUUGGGAUGUAAACUCCUUUCGAUAGGGAAGAUAAUGACGGUACCUAUAGAAGAAGCCCGGCUAACUUCGUGCCAGCAGCCGC